GGUUCCAUAGUGUAGCGGUUAGCACAUCUGCUUUGCACACAGGAAGUCCUGGGUUUGUGCCUCAGUGGAGCCA
Non-coding RNA from Pteropus alecto (black flying fox), 73 nucleotides. Lineage: Eukaryota; Metazoa; Chordata; Mammalia; Chiroptera; Pteropodidae. The record is from Rfam.